GACGAACGCUGGCGGCGUGCUUAACACAUGCAAGUCGAACGCUGAAGCUCAGCUUUUGUUGGGUGGAUGAGUGGCGAACGGGUGAGUAACACGUGAGUAACCUGCCCCCUUCUUUGGGAUAACGCCCGGAAACGGGUGCUAAUACUGGAUAUUCACUGGUCUUCGCAUGGGGGUUGGUGGAAAGGGUUUUUCUGGUGGGGGAUGGGCUCGCGGCCUAUCAGCUUGUUGGUGGGGUGAUGGCCUACCAAGGCUUUGACGGGUAGCCGGCCUGAGAGGGUGACCGGUCACAUUGGGACUGAGAUACGGCCUAGACUCCUACGGGAGGCAGCAGUGGGGAAUAUUGCACAAUGGGCGCAAGCCUGAUGCAGCGACGCCGCGUGAGGGAUGGAGGCCUUCGGGUUGUGAACCUCUUUCGCUCAUGGUCAAGCCGCAACAAUGGUUGUGGUGAGGGUAGUGGGUAAAGAAGCGCCGGCUAACUACGUG
RNAcentral lists this ribosomal RNA (483 nucleotides) under uncultured bacterium. Its description in RNAcentral is "partial 16S ribosomal RNA". It matches the Rfam family "Bacterial small subunit ribosomal RNA", at positions 28 to 507 of the family's 1533-position model. The record is from RNAcentral.